GAAAACAAAAAUAUCUUUAGUCAAUUUAAAGACGAGAACGAAAUGGACAAAAACAAUGUCACUAUACAAGGUAAGAAUGAUAAAAGGUCAGGUCAAUAUGGCUAUGUUGGCAGUCACCUAUCGCAAAUCCCAUAAGAACAGUCAGAUACGAGGACUCCAAUGAGGAGUACAAGAAAUGUAUUGCAUCAAAUAAUUCAACUAAAGGCUUAUAUUGUUCAACUGAACGCAAAUUCUAUCACGACUGAACUACAAAGACUUCUUAAAGACAUAGGCUUCACUUGUAUGUCAAAAAGUACAAACUCAAAAGGCAAAAUAAUAAAGAUGAUGUUUCUCACCGAGAUAAGAUGCUGCAGAUUUCUUUUUUCUUUCAGCAGAAAAUGAAUUGACUAUUCCUUUCUAAAGAUCUUUCUCUAACACUAAAUGCUGGCUUGCAAAUAUGAAUCUUGGUGCCUGUUUUAGAUGCAUUAAUACAAGCUAAAUCCAAAAAACUGGCUAAUGAUAAUGGCCAGGCCAAGAGCAAUUGCAAUGAAAGAAGAAAUCCAAGUGAGUUUUUCAGUAAUUCUUGGUACUCGAUCCUUUAAUGCCUGACUACAUGAGCCUAUAAAUACUGUAUAGCUUCCCAUUGCAACAACAGUCCCCAAUAGGAACAUGAUGAGAAAUGCAGCACCAGCCAAGCGUGAAGGCAAUGCAAGUGCAGGCAAGACCAUCAUCAAUGCAUCUGGUUGCAGCCCAUGGACAAUCCCAGUGGCAAAAGUAGCAAAACCUAUCUUCUUCUUCUUAUCCACCGUUGGGCUUUCUAGUGCUUCAUAAACGCUAACAUCACACUCACCAUUUUCAAGGGCAACACACGGGGUUGGGACUUCUGAAGCUUCCCUAAUUCCCAUAGCACCAAUAACAAGUAGUGUAAAACCAACUACUCUUGUGCCCCAAGUUCUGAUAAUCUCAAUGCGGAGUCGAUCCUUUAGCAAUAGAAACAGCAAGCCAAAUAUAACCUGACCAGCAUCAUGACCACAGCCCCAUAGAGCUCCAACAACAGCACUUUCCAUCCUGGAACGACCAAUUGAUAGUGGAGCCAAAGCAGCAAGGUGGUCUGGUCCUGACAGUGUAUGUAAGCAACCAGCAAAGAAACCAGUCCAAGCACUACUUAGUAAUUCAGUACGCAAUAGUUUUGACCCUACUGCAGUAGGAGCAGCAGGACCCCCAUUCUUGACAGCAGUUUGGAAGGUUGCGAAAGCUGGUGAAGCAAAAACUGGGUGGAUUAAGAACAUUAUGAUAGAUGAGAGUGCUAUAAACGUCCCAAGACAAACUGCCUUUUGUUGCACAGAAUCUCCUUUUGCGAUCUGUUGGGGGAAAUGGGAUUUUGGAAUUGACCCAGUUGGCGAGUGAACCGGGGGAGGAGAUAGAGAGAGCAGUGUAAUUGAAGGGGUUGAUGGGUUCUCAUAUUUGCAGGAGACUAAGUUGAGUCGCCUAAACUCAGGGCGUUGUAGAGAGGGAAAACCGAGUUUGGGCGAGUCAAAUCGUCGAAGUGAAGGGAGAAAUGGAGUGGAUUUAAGGUGGAAUUUGAGGUUAGGAGAAGAAGAGUAUAGAAGCCUUUCCAUGGCCUUUCUCCGUCUCUCUCUAAGUGUUUGUAAAACUGAGAGAGAGGGACAGAGAGAGAGGUAGAGAGAGGAGAUGGGGUCGCUGAGGAUGAUGAUAAGGAAGAUGGAA
This 1707-nucleotide unclassified non-coding RNA is filed under the name Hevea brasiliensis (rubber tree). The record is from RNAcentral. Lineage: Eukaryota; Viridiplantae; Streptophyta; Magnoliopsida; Malpighiales; Euphorbiaceae.